AUACGGAGGGUGCAAGCGUUAUUCGGGUUUAUUGGGCGUAAAGGGCGCGUAGGCGGUCUUGUAAGUCUGAUGUGAAAGCCCACGACUCAAUCGUGGAAGUGCAUUGGAUACUGCUCGACUAGAGUACUGGAGGGGAGAACGGAAUUCCUGGUGUAGAGGUGAAAUUCGUAGAUAUCAGGAGGAACAACUGUGGCGAAGGCGGUUCUCUGGACAGUAACUGACGCUGAGGCGCGAAAGCGUGGGUAGCAAACAGGAUUAGAUACCCCGGUAGUCC
Molecule: ribosomal RNA, 274 nt
Filed under: uncultured bacterium
Lineage: Bacteria
Description: partial 16S ribosomal RNA
Rfam family: Bacterial small subunit ribosomal RNA
Source: RNAcentral